UCGAGCGGUAGAGAGGUGCUUGCACCUCUUGAGAGCGGCGGACGGGUGAGUAAAGCCUAGGAAUCUGCCUGGUAGUGGGGGAUAACGCUCGGAAACGGACGCUAAUACCGCAUACGUCCUACGGGAGAAAGCAGGGGACCUUCGGGCCUUGCGCUAUCAGAUGAGCCUAGGUCGGAUUAGCUAGUUGGUGAGGUAAUGGCUCACCAAGGCGACGAUCCGUAACUGGUCUGAGAGGAUGAUCAGUCACACUGGAACUGAGACACGGUCCAGACUCCUACGGGAGGCAGCAGUGGGGAAUAUUGGACAAUGGGCGAAAGCCUGAUCCAGCCAUGCCGCGUGUGUGAAGAAGGUCUUCGGAUUGUAAAGAGCUUUAAGUUGGGAGGAAGGGCAUUAACCUAAUACGUUAGUGUUUUGACGUUACCGACAGAAUAAGCACCGGCUAACUCUGUGCCAGCAGCCGCGGUAAUACAGAGGGUGCAAGCGUUAAUCGGAAUUACUGGGCGUAAAGCGCGCGUAGGUGGUUCGUUAAGUUGGAUGUGAAAUCCCCGGGCUCAACCUGGGAACUGCAUUCAAAACUGUCGAGCUAGAGUAUGGUAGAGGGUGGUGG
Molecule: ribosomal RNA, 607 nt
Filed under: uncultured bacterium
Lineage: Bacteria
Description: bacterial SSU rRNA
Rfam family: Bacterial small subunit ribosomal RNA
Source: RNAcentral